Molecule: small nuclear RNA, 218 nt
Filed under: Dipodomys ordii (Ord's kangaroo rat)
Lineage: Eukaryota; Metazoa; Chordata; Mammalia; Rodentia; Heteromyidae
Description: 7SK RNA
Rfam family: 7SK RNA
About the family: 7SK was discovered as an abundant small nuclear RNA in the mid-70s but a possible function has only recently been suggested. Two independent studies have found that 7SK RNA binds the CDK9/cyclin T complex (known as elongation factor P-TEFb). P-TEFb activates transcription by phosphorylating the C-terminal domain of RNA polymerase II.
Source: Rfam by way of RNAcentral
GGAUGUCAGGGCAAUCUGGCUUUGACAACUGUCACCUCAUGGAUUGCCAGGACUGUCCCCUUCCUUCUUCGUUACUCCAUGUACAGCAGAUGACCAGUGAAUGAGUGGCCGCUCCCCUAAGCUAGACUCUCCAAGUAAGCUUUCAAAGGCAAAUAAUAGUGCAAAUGCAGACACAUAUUAUAAUUCUGCUUCUCAAAUAUUAGUGUGUAUGAGAAGUA